UAGUAGGGAGGAUUGGGGUGUUAACCGUACCCCGUUCUGAAACCGGUUCACGCAGAGAUCAGUAACUGCUGGGUAAAUCUCUGGCCGGGUAGUUCCCGCUUGGUAUGGUGGGAUGAGAUUACGCCGGGGCAGGUGGUUGCAGGUCCGGGGACAUCCGAAGGGACGUCUUCCAGGAUCGAACUACAGAACGUGAUCAGGUCCGGGAGGGAGCAGUCCUAAUGUAGAGCAUCCACGCUUUCCCGUCUACGUAAUGGAUCUGUCAUGCCCUGAAAUGGGGCUAUCUGACCAGACCGGAGCCAGUGGGCCUACUA
RNAcentral lists this signal recognition particle RNA (311 nucleotides) under Cenarchaeum sp. SB0663_bin_5. RNAcentral describes it as "signal recognition particle sRNA". It matches the Rfam family "Archaeal signal recognition particle RNA". RNAcentral also lists the same sequence under 2 other names. Lineage: Archaea; Thermoproteati; Nitrososphaerota; Candidatus Cenarchaeales; Candidatus Cenarchaeaceae. The record is from RNAcentral.